Long non-coding RNA from Micropterus dolomieu (smallmouth bass), 969 nucleotides. RefSeq lists it as uncharacterized. NCBI's taxonomy places the organism in Eukaryota, Metazoa, Chordata, Actinopteri, Centrarchiformes, Centrarchidae. The transcript is spliced from 3 exons. The record is from RefSeq and is a predicted model, not a curated record.
UGAAAAAUAGCCUGUAUUGUUGACAUGCUGGAGCACUGCUGGGGUCACUAACGUUUUUUGACUGAGGAAAGUUGUGUGGACGUUAAGUCCAAUUUCAAGCAUAUUUAAUAACCACAGUGGUAGUGGAGUUUGUUGUUUUGUGGAACUUGUGAAAAACUGCAGCUGCUCAGCUGGUUGCGUUACAGAAAGCCCCUAUUGCAGCGCAUUGCCGUGACUGGACUAAGUACUCGUCCAUGAACCUGCCCACAAAUUACUGUGUUGAGCCCAUUGCCCGGUUACCUGCUGCUGUUUGUGCUGUGAUACACUAUAUAGCACCACGUUCACACAAAGAUAUAUCGUUCAGCAUAUGAGUGCACAUUGAUUUUUAUGUAUGCUGGUAUUUAGUAUCUGUCACAUUAUUUGGGACCUCCAAAAGUCUCCUGCCACAGGUCUGUGAUUGGCCGAGAGAAUCAGUAGUUGGAGAGUUUGAGUGCGAGGCUGAUCGAUGAGAGCCUGGAGCAGGAUGAACCAACCAGAGAGGCAGUUGUCUUUUCCCCCCUAUCUCAUCCCACCCCAGGCAGAUCUGCUGUCACAGUUCAACACAAAGGGUCACAGCUCAAAAACCAACUGCUCCGUACAAGAUUUUGAUAGGUUUUGCUGUGGCUUGUCGAUCCAAGGCCAAACUGUCAUGACAAUGUACACGGAUCCUGUGACGUGUGCUACCUCAUCACACCCUUUUUGUUGAACUGCAAAAUGCUGCACUGCCAAUAUUACUACAGAAUUUAAUUUUGUAACAAGGACACACUUCCACAAAGGUUGAUGGCAAAUUUCAUUUAGCAGAUGAAUUUGGUGGGUCUGCUGGUCAGUAAAAGUUGUAUUUUCUGUUGCAUCAAACCACUGACUUUAGCAUCAGCAAUGCCAAGAGCGAAACAAAAAUUGUCUAACCAUUGUGCUUUGUAAAUAUGACACAAAUAAACCCUCAGAAAUUUU